RNAcentral lists this unclassified non-coding RNA (221 nucleotides) under Hevea brasiliensis (rubber tree). The record is from RNAcentral. Lineage: Eukaryota; Viridiplantae; Streptophyta; Magnoliopsida; Malpighiales; Euphorbiaceae.
GGGUGGAUGUAUGCUGUUGAUGGCUUACCAACGCCUCAUGGGCGGAUGUGUGCUUUUGAUGGCUUAUUAACGCCUUAUGGGUAGAUGCGUGUCGUUGAUGGCUUGUCAAUGCCUCAUGGGCAGAUGUAUGCCUUUGAUGGCUUUAUCGAUGCCUCAUGGGCAGACAUGUAUCGUUGAUGGCUUGUCGAUACCUCAUGGGCAAAUGUGUACCUUUGAUAGCU